UACGGGGGGGGCAAGCGUUGUUCGGAAUUACUGGGCGUAAAGGGCUCGUAGGUGGCCAACUAAGUCAGACGUGAAAUCCCUCAGCUUAACUGGGGAACUGCGUGUGAGACUGGCGAGCUUGAGGACAGGAGAGGAACGCGGAAUUCCAGGUGUAGCGGUGAAAUGCGUAGAUAUCUGGAGGAACACCGGUGGCGAAGGCGGCGUUCUGGACUGUUUCUGACACUGUAAAACGAAAGCCAGGGGAGCAAACGGG
Molecule: ribosomal RNA, 253 nt
Filed under: uncultured bacterium
Lineage: Bacteria
Description: partial 16S ribosomal RNA
Rfam family: Bacterial small subunit ribosomal RNA
Source: RNAcentral